UCUAAUGUGGCAGAAUAGUGCGAUGGAUUUAAGAUCCAUAUAUAAAGUCCAACUUUUUUUAGAA
RNAcentral lists this transfer RNA (64 nucleotides) under Limonius californicus. RNAcentral's name for it is "tRNA-Leu". It matches the Rfam family "tRNA". Rfam says of the family: Transfer RNA (tRNA) molecules are approximately 80 nucleotides in length. Lineage: Eukaryota; Metazoa; Arthropoda; Insecta; Coleoptera; Elateridae. The record is from RNAcentral.